Molecule: ribosomal RNA, 253 nt
Filed under: uncultured bacterium
Lineage: Bacteria
Description: partial 16S ribosomal RNA
Rfam family: Bacterial small subunit ribosomal RNA
Source: RNAcentral
UACAGAGGUGGCAAGCGUUGUUCGGAAUUACUGGGCGUAAAGGGCGCGUAGGCGGCCAUCUAAGUCAGACGUGAAAUCCCCCGGCUUAACCUGGGAACUGCGUCUGAUACUGGACGGCUCGAGUUUGGGGGAGGGAUGUGGAAUUCCAGGUGUAGCGGUGAAAUGCGUAGAUAUCUGGAGGAACACCGGUGGCGAAGGCGGCAUCCUGGACCAUAACUGACGCUGAGGCGCGAAAGCUAGGGGAGCAAACGGG